UACGGAGGGUGCGAGCGUUGUCCGGAAUCACUGGGCGUAAAGGGCGCGUAGGUGGCCGAGCAAGGUCGCGGUGAAAGCCCGGGGCUCAACCCCGGGUCGGCCGUGACAACUACUCGGCUCGAGCACUGUAGGGGCGGGUGGAAUUCCGGGUGUAGCGGUGGAAUGCGUAGAGAUCCGGAAGAACACCGGUGGUGUAGACGGCUUUCUGGACCGUAACUGACGCUGAGACACGAAAGCGUGGGUAGCAAACAGG
This 253-nucleotide ribosomal RNA is filed under the name uncultured bacterium. RNAcentral's name for it is "partial 16S ribosomal RNA". It matches the Rfam family "Bacterial small subunit ribosomal RNA", at positions 524 to 776 of the family's 1533-position model. The record is from RNAcentral.